CUCAGUGCCUCAGGCUGCUGAACGUUUUCCUUCCCACCAUGCGGCGGCGCCAGCGGACGCUCCCUGACCUCUGUCCAGUUCCUGGGUCGGAUCGACCAGACGAACCGAUCAGGGCUGAUUAUGCAAUGGGAUCUUAAACUGCUUCACCACAAACACCAGAACCGCCCAGAUUCUCCCGCCACCAACCAGACACUUUAUCAGGGCCACCUUGUUACGACCCGAUUGGACUCAAUCGGCCAGAACCUCAGGAUCCACCGCAUCCCAAAGGUUCUCUGCUGGAUGAAGACCUGCCAACUGGAGAGACGUGUGAAGGUCCAGAAAUCAGGUCCGGUUCCGGUCGCCAUCUUCACCGGCAGACCCUCUGCCGUCUGAUUGGCCGACUGACCGUUUGGUCUACAGGUGUACCUAAUAAAGUGGCCAAUGAUUCGG
Poecilia reticulata (guppy) is the source of this 429-nucleotide long non-coding RNA. RefSeq lists it as uncharacterized. The record is from RefSeq and is a predicted model, not a curated record. Lineage: Eukaryota; Metazoa; Chordata; Actinopteri; Cyprinodontiformes; Poeciliidae.